This 339-nucleotide ribosomal RNA is filed under the name Triatoma dimidiata (kissing bug). RNAcentral describes it as "partial 16S ribosomal RNA". The stretch from base 1 to 162 matches the Rfam family "Archaeal large subunit ribosomal RNA", at positions 1946 to 2143 of the family's 2987-position model. The record is from RNAcentral. Lineage: Eukaryota; Metazoa; Arthropoda; Insecta; Hemiptera; Reduviidae.
CUGACCUGCCCAAUGAGGAAUUCAAUGGCCGCAGUAUUUUAACUGUGCUAAGGUAGCAUAAUCAUUUGUCUUUUAAUUGAGGGCUGGAAUGAAAGGUUGGACGAGAUAUUGACUUUCUUUAGUUUAAUUUUAAGAAUUUAAUUUUUAAGUUAAAAAGCUUAAAUUUAUUUGUUGGACGAGAAGACCCUAUAGAUCUUUAUAAUUUUAUAUUUUGAUAAUUUGGAGAUUUUAUUUAUUGUAAGUAGAAGAAUUAUUUUGUUGGGGUGACUGUAGAAUUUUAUUAACUUCUAUUAUUUUUAUUUCAUUGAUUGGUGUUUUUUUGAUCCAUAUAUUUAUGAU